Long non-coding RNA from Rhipicephalus sanguineus (brown dog tick), 605 nucleotides. RefSeq lists it as uncharacterized. The record is from RefSeq and is a predicted model, not a curated record. The transcript is spliced from 3 exons. NCBI's taxonomy places the organism in Eukaryota, Metazoa, Arthropoda, Arachnida, Ixodida, Ixodidae.
CUGUAGCUCGUUGCUUGAUUGCGUACGGCGAUGUCUGUGUUGGAAAGAGAAGCCAUACAAAAGCAAAUUCAGCAAGACUGGGCGAACAGGGAAUACAUUGAAAUCAUUAGCGGGAGCAUAAAGAAAAUCGUUGAUUUCCUUACAUCGUUUGAUAUGUCAUGUAGGGCAAGGCUCGCUACCUUAAACGAAAAGCUGACGUCACUGGAAAGAAGAAUCGAAUACCUAGAGGCCAGAGUUACAAAAGGUGACACAACAUUCAAUUGAUCACUGUGUGGUUACCUGCAGACUUUACGUCCAUUAUGCAGGUGUUUUUAUAUAUGUGCAUGGUGUAAGCAGCUCCGAUGAGUUGGUUGCCUGCUGCACUUGUGAACACAUUGUUACAAACUUCUGAUUUCAUUUGUGUGUGGCAUCAAGCUAAUGAGUGCUGAAAUGGACUUGCGGCACAAGUGGAGGUGUAUCUUAGCCCACCAGCUCCUGUUGUCCAAGCAGUGUGUUUAUUGACAAAUACAAAAAUUUUGAAGUCAUUGCAGUUUGUGAACUGAUGUACUAAUUAACUGUAAUAUGUAACAAUUGCUUGUAACUGCCAUUAAAAUGCUUUUGUAACA